UUUAGACUGUGCCAAGGAGGAACUCAUUUGUGCAAUGGACAGUACAGGGCUCCUCUACCUUAGGAAGAGAUCUGAAGAAAGGUUUGUAUCCGAUGUGGAAAGAUAUUAACUAAAUUCAGGACAGAAAUCAGGAAAUUCUUCAGAGCUGGUGUCCUGCAUGGGUUUCCAUGGCAGAAACUACCACAAAGCAAGCAGGAACUUGAAGCCUUAAGGAAGAAAAUGACGGUGAUUAUUUCACCUCGGCCAAGACAUACUCUAGGAAACUCUGAAACUGCAUGUAUGCAGCAAGGGCCUCCACUGCCUAAAUCCUGCAGUUGGGAUGACCAGUUCAAGCCUGUGAACUGGUCACAAAUGGAAAUGUACCUCUGCAGAAUUAACCACCAGCCCCUACUCUAAGAGCAGAAAAGCACACUAGGGUGUGUACUGUGUGGCCACUGGCAUGCUGUCAGAGAGCUGAAAGCACCUGGACUUUGGUCUUGUAUUUUGCAACAGUCACAGUCUGGUAACACACAGCUUCACAGGACUCACCAUCUAAUUACAGCAACACUUUCCAGUUGAAAAACAGACCUAAGAAGAUCUGAAUUAACGCACGAAUUGGACACUUUAUGUCUGCUGAGCCCCUCAUAAACCUCUACUGCACCAGGGCCACAGCAAACCUCUCCCAGUGAAUUUUAACCAAUAUGUUUCAAUGUCUUGGUAUCUACCUUGCUAACAAAACCUACUGUACAUGACCUGGAACCAACCCACCGUGUGUUUCCCUUUGUAUUUUGCUUUCAAAUAAAACCUCUAGAGACAGACAGCACAGGCCAGUGCCCUGAGAAUGUUAAGUUGAAAACUGCUGCCUGAAACAAACUUUUCUGAUAUCUCAUAAAAUCUUUGUAAAUGUGACAAUCAAGUUCUCAACAAAAUUCACCUGGCAACAGCUGCAUUGAAACAAAGUUACUGCAGCAACAAGUAACGUCACCAUGUUAAUAAUUGACAUGGAAAGAAUGAAAAGGUGAGCAAGGGAUAAAGAGGACAAAGGAAAGAUUUCAGUAUAAACUUCUGCUGCCACUGGAAUGGUGCCACAGUAAGAGCAAAUAUGCUUCGUAUUUAAUGGAGCUAAUGCUGCUCAGCAGUUGUGGAAUCUAUCCAUCCUUUGGUCAAGGCACCUUAGCAUGAAUUAACUGAAAGUUUUUCAGAGGGAUUCACAGAAUGUCACCCGUUUUCUGACUGUGCAAGAUAAAUCCCUCAUGCCUAAUCUGCAGAACUACCAUGCACUCACAGCUGCAACUGAAGUCAAUGGGAGAUGGAAGGCAGAACAUAAAUGCUGUAUAAUGCCCCCACAUCAGACCUCAGAUGAAAUUACUGAAGGCUUCAACUGCACUGAAAACAAUUAAGAGGAAAAUUAAAACGUACGUGGCUAUCCACAGUUGUCACAAGUGAGAAAGUUUAUUUCCAACAUUUUCUGCCUGUCAUCCAUGACUGAAAAGAAGCAGAUUUUGAUCUGUGAAACAGCACACCAGUGAAAGAAGGGACUUUACGAACAGGACGGCCUACACCACACAAGUAGGAGGCUAAUCUUCUCAGUUGGAAACUAGCUGGAGCAGCCAGGAUAUUAAAUCAGCAACACAAGGGGAGGUUAUUUGGAAGGCAAAUGAGGUACAUGCUCAAAUUCAGCACCUAACGAGCAAGUUGAACCAAUGUGGCAAGGAAUAUAAUGAAAAGAAUCACUUAAAUUGUUUACGUAUUGAUCUUAGGAAUCUGGUACACUGUCACACAGUGUUCUCUUGAGAAAUCAUUUGUAUCCAGAAGAGGCUGCGAUCUAAAGACCACAGAGGGCUUCCAGUCACAUUGGUACACAGGAAAAGAACAGAAUAAUGAAAGGUCAUCAAGAAGAUGAAGAUGAGCCUCAUUUGCAAACCAGGACAUUUUUAAACAGUUGUUUCCCAUGGACUGUAUGUACAAUUGCUGCAAACACAAGCAUAAGUGUGGAACAUAUGUGAACUCCUCCACCUCUUUUAGUUCUUGUUGAGACUCUCUGACUGAAGAGUGAAAAAGGCAGAUGGAUUUUUGAGUUUUUACAGUGAGUGGAAGACCCAUAGCUUCUAUAAAUUUUGUAUAUAUACCAGUAAAGACUUUGCAGGUGGCAACCUCCCUGAGAGGAUCAGAGGUAGCAGCUGAUGUAUCGGGUGGUUAAGAAUGCAACCUCCCCAGUUCAAAUAUUGAAUGGAGAAACCAAAUCCAAUGCAUGAUAUUUACAAAUAAGAAUUACCUUGCAAAUCUCAGAUACGGCCAUAUUUCAGAAACACGCCAAAUAAACUGUUUGGCUUCCCUCUGACUGCAUCUUGAAUAAGACCAGGUGAGACAACACCAUGUGGUCCAUGCAGAACCAGAUGCACUACUGCCUGAUACUUCUACGCUCUUCUGAGGAUGUGAUAUCCCCUGGAAACACAAUAAGAGGUGGUGCUGAGGCUGAUGAAAAUGUAUACUACAUUUAAGAUGUUUACUUACCCUUGGAUCAAAAAGACAUGAAGUGACUAAAAGCAAGAUGGUACAAGCAGUCUUGCCAGCACACAGACCUUGACCAAACUAAAAGGGGGGAAUCCAUGAUACUUCAGUUGUAGCAAGAUA
Molecule: non-coding RNA, 2613 nt
Organism: Phalacrocorax carbo (great cormorant)
Lineage: Eukaryota; Metazoa; Chordata; Aves; Suliformes; Phalacrocoracidae
Source: RefSeq, a predicted model, not a curated record